GGACCUUCAUGACUGCCCUCGACACUUACUCACUUCGGCUGAUUAAGCUGUAUCGAAUUAGAAAAGCUGCUUUCCGCAAUGACAUGGAUUCCCUGUUGCAGAAGUUUGAUGAACAGGUCUCAAACAUAGUCCAGCAUCGACGAACCAUCAGUUUGGAAGGGUUACCGAUAUUUGUUCGCGACGACGAGACCAAACUCUUCUUAACAUGUCUGGAUACAGAUCCAGUUGAGAGGGCAACCCGAGGUGUUACGGUGGGCAUCCUCACUGUUCUGGAGGACUACGUGGGACCCAACUCGCAGUCCACAGUGGUCAACACUGCCAUUGUUUUGGAAGAGGACAUUAUUCUUGAUGAUCUGCCAGACCUUCCCACUGCCUUUGCCUACCUGUUUGGCCUA
Molecule: long non-coding RNA, 395 nt
Organism: Oreochromis aureus
Lineage: Eukaryota; Metazoa; Chordata; Actinopteri; Cichliformes; Cichlidae
Source: Ensembl